RNAcentral lists this transfer RNA (73 nucleotides) under Mustela putorius furo (domestic ferret). It matches the Rfam family "tRNA". Rfam says of the family: Transfer RNA (tRNA) molecules are approximately 80 nucleotides in length. Lineage: Eukaryota; Metazoa; Chordata; Mammalia; Carnivora; Mustelidae. The record is from Rfam by way of RNAcentral.
GCCCAGUUGGCUCAGUCAGAAAAGCAUGGGACUCUUGAUCUAGAGGUUGUGAGUUUGAGCCCCACAUUGGUCA